Molecule: ribosomal RNA, 393 nt
Filed under: uncultured bacterium
Lineage: Bacteria
Description: partial 16S ribosomal RNA
Rfam family: Bacterial small subunit ribosomal RNA
Source: RNAcentral
AUACGGAGGACGCGAGCGUUAUCCGGAUUCAUUGGGUUUAAAGGGUGCGUAGGCUGUUCGGAAAGUCAGGGGUGAAAGCCCGGCGCCUAACGCCGGAACUGCCUUUGAUACUUCCGAGCUGGAAUACGGAUGCCGUGGGAGGAAUGAGUAGUGUAGCGGUGAAAUGCAUAGAUAUUACUCAGAACACCGAUUGCGAAGGCAUCUCACGAAUCCGUCAUUGACGCUGAGGCACGAAAGCGUGGGGAUCAAACAGGAUUAGAUACCCUGGUAGUCCACGCAGUAAACGAUGAUGACUAACCGUCGGCGAUACACAGUCGGUGGCCAAGCGAAAGCGAUAAGUCAUCCACCUGGGGAGUACGUUCGCAAGAAUGAAACUCAAAUGAAUUGACGGGG